RNAcentral lists this non-coding RNA (33 nucleotides) under Pontibacillus marinus BH030004 = DSM 16465. Lineage: Bacteria; Bacillati; Bacillota; Bacilli; Caryophanales; Bacillaceae. The record is from RNAcentral.
CUCUGUUCCCCAAGGGUUCAGGGCAAUAAGGAG